This 404-nucleotide ribosomal RNA is filed under the name uncultured bacterium. RNAcentral's name for it is "bacterial SSU rRNA". It matches the Rfam family "Bacterial small subunit ribosomal RNA", at positions 355 to 775 of the family's 1533-position model. The record is from RNAcentral.
UUGGGAAUAUUGCACAAUGGAGGAAACUCUGAUGCAGCGACGCUGCGUGAAGGAUGAAGGCUUUCGGGUCGUAAACUUCUUUUGCCGGGGAGUAAUCAUGAAAGUACCCGGAGAAUAAGCACCGGCUAACUACGUGCCAGCAGCCGCGGUAAUACGUAGGGUGCGAGCGUUAUUCGGAUUUACUGGGCGUAAAGCGUGUGUAGGUGGUUUGUUGCGUCUCCGAUUAAAGACCCAAGCUCAACUUGGGGAGUGUUGGAGAUACGGGCAGACUAGAGGUUUGCAGGGGCAGACGGAAUUCCUGGUGUAGCAGUGAAAUGCGUAGAUAUCAGGAAGAACACCGAUGGCGAAAGCAGUCUGCUGGGCUUAUCCUAACACUGAGACACGAAAGCGUGGGGAGCGAACGG